This 253-nucleotide ribosomal RNA is filed under the name uncultured bacterium. RNAcentral describes it as "partial 16S ribosomal RNA". It matches the Rfam family "Bacterial small subunit ribosomal RNA", at positions 524 to 776 of the family's 1533-position model. The record is from RNAcentral.
UACGGAGGGUGCAAGCGUUACUCGGAUUUACUGGGCGUAAAGCGCAUGUAGGCGGUUAGGUAAGUCUGUUGUGAAAUCCCGGAGCUCAACUCCGGAAGUGCAGUGGAUACUGCUUAACUAGAAUUCAGGAGAGGAGGGUGGAAUUCCUGGUGUAGAGGUGAAAUUCGUAGAUAUCAGGAGGAACACCAGUGGCGAAGGCGGCCCUCUGGACUGACAUUGACGCUGAGAUGCGAAAGCGUGGGUAGCAAACAGG